This 920-nucleotide long non-coding RNA is filed under the name Ananas comosus (pineapple). RNAcentral describes it as "long non-coding RNA (ACOM_LNC001705)". Lineage: Eukaryota; Viridiplantae; Streptophyta; Magnoliopsida; Poales; Bromeliaceae. The record is from RNAcentral.
UAAAAGGUAUUAGUAUAAAAUAGUGAACUCAUUCUAGAUUUCUUUGUAGAAAUAUAAGAUUAAAAGUAGGCCCCUCCUGGGGUUUCGUAGUUUCUUACUUUGCACCCCUGUAGUUUAAAAUGUAUCAAUUUUCCCCCCUAUGAUUUUGUUUUUAUCUUUUUCUUAUCAAUUUCAUUAUUUUUUUUCUUAAAUCAGUGAUAAAGUUAAAAUUAAAGGGUAAUAAAGUGAAUAUUUGAUAAAUCUAGAUGGGUAUCUGAAGCUUUUUGUAUAUAAUUUAAUGAAAUAUUAACGAAAAAGCUACGGAAAAGAUAAAAACGAAACCACGUGGGGGCAAAUUGAUAUAUUUUAAAUCACAGGGGGGCAAAAUGAGAAACUACGAGACCACAGAGGGGGUUUUUGAAGUUUUCCCUUAAAAGUAUAAGAUUAUCAUAACUAAGAUGCAUUCUGAUCUCCAUUCUUAUAUGAAAAUCAUUAAUAGUACGUCUAUUAAGAAGAGUAUAAUAAUUUUUAACAAUCUCUUAAUUCAUAGAUAAUAUUUUUGAAAUAUUACGAAUCUAGAACCAAAUGGUCUCGUAAUAUCUUAAUAUAUUUUAUCUAAACCCACACACAAGAUCCAGCUAAGCGAUGGAUAUUUAAUUUAAGCAAGAACUAGCUAUUAUAAGGAUAGGUAUAAGUAUGGAGAUAAGAAAAAUAGUGUUUGGAUGAAAAUUAGAUUGUUUCCGAAGAUAAGAAAAAUAACGUUUGGAUAGAUAAUAUGGAAUAAAAAAAAUAGUAGAUAGUUAUAUAUAAAAAAUGAAAGUGUUGGUGAAAAUAAUUAUACCAGUUUAUUUCAGGUAGCCGAGAAUUACUAUUCUCGGAUAAAAAAUUUACGUUUGGAUAUAAAAGGGGAUAAGGGAUAAUCCCUCCCCUUAUCCCUAAUC